This 393-nucleotide ribosomal RNA is filed under the name uncultured bacterium. RNAcentral's name for it is "bacterial SSU rRNA". It matches the Rfam family "Bacterial small subunit ribosomal RNA", at positions 30 to 421 of the family's 1533-position model. The record is from RNAcentral.
AUUGAACGCUGGCGGCAUGCUUUACACAUGCAAGUCGAACGGUAACAGGUCUUUCGGGAUGCUGACGAGUGGCGAACGGGUGAGUAAUGUAUCGGAACGUGCCCAGUAGUGGGGGAUAACUACUCGAAAGAGUGGCUAAUACCGCAUGAGAUCUCUGGAUGAAAGCGGGGGGACCGUAAGGCCUCGCGCUACUGGGAGCGGCCGAUAUCAGAUUAGGUUGUUGGUGAGGUAAAGGCUCACCAAGCCGACGAUCUGUAGCUGGUCUGAGAGGACGACCAGCCACACUGGAACUGAGACACGGUCCAGACUCCUACGGGAGGCAGCAGUGGGGAAUUUUGGACAAUGGGGGCAACCCUGAUCCAGCCAUUCCGCGUGAGUGCAGAAGGCCUUCGG